AGCAGCCGCGGUAAUUCCAGCUCCAAUAGCGUAUAUUAAAGUUGUUGCAGUUAAAAAGCUCGUAGUUGAAUUUCGGGAUCAAUUAAUCGGUCGUGCCUCUGGUACGCACUGGUUUUAUUGGUUUCUCCCUUCUGACGAACCAGGAUGUCAUUAAUUUGGUGUCUUGGAGAAUCAGGACUGUUACUUUGAAAAAAUUAGAGUGUUUAAAGCAGGCUAACGCUUGAAUACAUUAGCAUGGAAUAAUGAAAUAGGACGUUUGAUCCUAUUUUGUUGGUUUCUAGGAUCGACGUAAUGAUUAAUAGGGAUAGUUGGGGGCAUUAGUAUUCAAUUGUCAGAGGUGAAAUUCUUGGAUUUAUUGAAGACUAACUACUGCGAAAGCAUUUGCCAAGGAUGUUUUCAUUAAUCAAGAACGAAAGUUAGGGGAUCGAAGACGAUCAGAUACCGUCGUAGUCUUAACCAUAAACUGUGCCGACUAGGGAUCGGAUGAUGUUAAUUUUUUAAUGACUCAUUCGGCGCCUUA
RNAcentral lists this unclassified non-coding RNA (520 nucleotides) under uncultured Glomus. RNAcentral's name for it is "SSU rRNA". It matches the Rfam family "Eukaryotic small subunit ribosomal RNA", at positions 569 to 1090 of the family's 1831-position model. The record is from RNAcentral. Lineage: Eukaryota; Fungi; Glomeromycota; Glomeromycetes; Glomerales; Glomeraceae.